RNAcentral lists this ribosomal RNA (433 nucleotides) under uncultured bacterium. RNAcentral describes it as "partial 16S ribosomal RNA". It matches the Rfam family "Bacterial small subunit ribosomal RNA", at positions 29 to 507 of the family's 1533-position model. The record is from RNAcentral.
AACGAACGCUGGCGGCAGGCCUAACACAUGCAAGUCGAGCGAGGACUUCGGUCCUAGCGGCGGACGGGUGAGUAACCCGUGGGAACGUGCCCUUUGCUUCGGAAUAGCCCUGGGAAACUGGGAGUAAUACCGGAUGAGCCCUUUGGGGGAAAGAUUUAUCGGCGAAGGAUCGGCCCGCGUUGGAUUAGGUAGUUGGUGGGGUAAUGGCCUACCAAGCCGACGAUCCAUAGCUGGUUUGAGAGGAUGAUCAGCCACACUGGGACUGAGACACGGCCCAGACUCCUACGGGAGGCAGCAGUGGGGAAUCUUAGACAAUGGGGGAAACCCUGAUCUAGCCAUGCCGCGUGAGCGAUGAAGGCCUUAGGGUUGUAAAGCUCUUUCAGCUGGGAAGAUAAUGACGGUACCAGCAGAAGAAGCCCCGGCUAACUCCGUG